This 386-nucleotide ribosomal RNA is filed under the name uncultured bacterium. RNAcentral's name for it is "bacterial SSU rRNA". It matches the Rfam family "Bacterial small subunit ribosomal RNA", at positions 30 to 418 of the family's 1533-position model. The record is from RNAcentral.
AUUGAACGCUGGCGGCAUGCCUUACACAUGCAAGUCGAACGGCAGCACGGGAGCAAUCCUGGUGGCGAGUGGCGAACGGGUGAGUAAUAUAUCGGAACGUGCCCAGUCGUGGGGAUAACGUAGCGAAAGCUACGCUAAUACCGCAUACGAUCUAUGGAUGAAAGCGGGGGAUCGCAAGACCUCGCGCGAUUGGAGCGGCCGAUAUCGGAUUAGGUAGUUGGUGAGGUAAAGGCUCACCAAGCCGACGAUCUGUAGCUGGUCUGAGAGGACGACCAGCCACACUGGGACUGAGACACGGCCCAGACUCCUACGGGAGGCAGCAGUGGGAAUUUUGGACAAUGGGCGCAAGCCUGAUCCAGCAAUGCCGCGUGCAGGAUGAAGGCCUU